AAAUCAAACCCCUAUAAUAUUUCACAAAAACGCGCCUAAUCGAUCCCACCCUCCCAGUUGCGUCACUCAUCUCGCCUCUUCACCAUCAACGCUGCCGUCCGCCGUCCUCGCCUCUCCACCGUCAGCGCCACCAUCCGUCUUCGCCUCGCCACCGUUAUCUAGAGAGCAUUUCAGUGGAAGAAGGAGCUUUGUAACUCCGUAUAGCUCAUCGGCAUCGUCGUUACACCUGUCCAAAUCAAGGCCCCCAGCUCCGGUAAGGCCGUCGUUUGGUCUCGCCUAGCCGUCAAGAAAUACUCUACCGACACUGCCUGCUGGCAGGGGUCCAAUGUGCUGGAAACCCACAGUUUUGCGUGAACGAGGAUGGUUCAUAACAGGAAGAGGGACAAAAAAAUACAAGAGGGUAUAUCUGGGGUAAGGUACUGUAUGCGUUGGGGUCUGCUACCCCCUACAAAAAAAUUACGGGAAUGUGCUUGGAAAAAGCUUUACAUGCAGUUGCCCCUAUUGAUAAAGCUAGAUUAAGUUUAAAAUUUGGUUUAGAAGAAUUACUUUCUUCUUGCAGCGUGAUGAAGAGGACAUGGCUGAAUUUGUUAGGAAUUGCCCCGCUGAGUUCAAAGAGUAUUAUGUCCAAAUGUAGGCAGCAAAGAGAAACCAAACACCUCUUCCUUCUCAGGUGAAUGAUGACCGGAUUAUUCUUGACAAGACUCUUACUGAUCAAGUGUCUAUAUGGAAAAGCAGCAGAGGCCUGACUGAUAAGGUGGUCUUGGACCAUGAUUGCUCUGGAGAAACAUGUACUUACUAUCAAAUUGGAGAUGUAUUUGUUUGUGAGAAGACUGGGCAGGUUCAUGUUAUAUGUGGAUACCUUGGUGAAGAAAGCAUAUGAUAACUGGAACCAUGUUGUUGAAUAUGAUGGCAAGUCACUUUUGAGCUUCAAACAAAGUAAGAGGCCAGGCGCUUCUGGAAAUGAACUUCCAAUGGGCCCAGUCAAUUAUCCUACUUCUUUUGAAAAUCAACUUCCCCAACAACGGUUAGCAGGCUCAGUUCCUCCUGAGCAGUCGUCAAUGGAUUCAAGUCUACUAAUUGGAGGUAGGCAUGGCCUCUUUUUCUUUCUUUUUGGAUUGGUUACGAAUUGCUCCCCCCGCCUCCCAAAAGGAAAGGGGAAAAAAGGAAAGAAAACGACUUUUUUCUUAGGCUGUUCAUGGGUACGUGGUAGCAAGCCCAUUGGAUAAAUGGGUCGAACUAUUGUAUGGCAUUUGAAGCUUAAACAGUUUGGCUGGUUGCACUGGAAAAAUCUGAAACCACUUGCUUAUUAGUCUGUCUACCCAUGUACCUAAAAAAAAUCCUCAAUUUUCUCUUGUGCCUUUUGCUGUUCCUCUUGAAAUGGAUACCUCCACAAUAUUCUCAAAUAUUUUAAUUCUAUUAUGA
This is a non-coding RNA of Camellia sinensis, 1422 nucleotides long. The record is from RefSeq and is a predicted model, not a curated record. Lineage: Eukaryota; Viridiplantae; Streptophyta; Magnoliopsida; Ericales; Theaceae.